ACCCGCCGGCUGCGCGGUCUCGGCCGCGGUGGCGGCGGCGACGGCGGCGACCCCCGCCUGGGUCAUGAUCCCAGGAGGGGAAGGCAGGAGUGUCUGACCGUCUGGGCGAAUCUCUCCGUCCGCGGCCACCGCCUGCUCCUCCGGGGCUGGGGGAGCGCGGGCCCAGGCCCUCCUCUCCCCCCGCCCCCGCCGCCUCUUUUUGCGGCCACCGCAGCCGCUGCGAGCCCGAGCCCUCAAGGCCGGAGACCCGGCGGCAGCGCGGCCUCAACUUUCCCAGCCCCCCUCCCCCCGCCCCUCCCCGCCCCUCCCGCGGCCGCAGCUCAGCAAGCGAACAGCCUACCCUGGGCGCGCCGCGUUCCCGCCUCUUUCACUCAACCCGCCAAUCAGGCUGCGGGAACGCUGCCGUGGUAGCCAAUAAGAAGACAGAAUGCCGUUGCACUACGCUAGAGGGCGGGAGGAGGCGGAGAGGAAACCAAGGAGUGAACGGGGAUCGGGCGGCCCAAUGAGGAGGGCCGGGGGGCGGAGGUGUGCAAGUUGGGUUGAAGAAACAGGAAAUAUUCUUAAAGGUAGAGUGACGGACAGGAAGGAAAGCCAGAGUUUGGAAGUGGAAAAAUUGAAAAGGAAGAGGGCACGGAAGUCUUUCGGAAUAGUUAGCCCCUCUUAACGUGGAGGGCAGGAAGGUGAGAAGAUACGUCUUAGUAAAUGUGGAGAAGAAAGAAUCAGACGUUUCCGACUUCUCGAUAACUGGAAGAUUGUUGCUGACUUGACGCUGCUCGCAUUCGUAGGCUGUGGUCUCUUGUCAUCCUUUAUUUGCAACAACACACAGAUUUCUGUGAAUUGGAGAUGGCCAUGUUCAGAAAUGCCCUGGGGGCCUCCCAGCUGGGACAAGGGAGUUUGGCAUUGGGGGAUGGGGUUUGAGAUCUCAAGCCUGGGUUACUAAAUACCUGGAUCUAGGAGAGGUAGGGCCAGGGGUCACGAAAUGGAGACCUGAGUGCCCCUUAACUCCAGGAUCUGUGUGGAGCCCUUGGAACCGUGAUCACAACUCCCUCUUCCUAGUUUCGCUUCAUAUUUUAUAACCUCCUGCUGAAACAGGUGUCCUCCACCUAGUUGCGGUUAUAGAUUUCCAAGCCCUUCCACAACCAGAUUUGGAAAUAUCCCAGAUCUUAGAUGUCCGUGGGCUAACUUCCAGAAGGUGCACACAGGGCAUGGCAUAAUGGGAAUUACUUGAGCCUGUAUACAGAAGCAGCAGACAUCGCAUUGAGCAAAAGGGUAAAGGCUAACAGUAACGGAGUCUUAUGUUUGUACAGCAGAUUGAAAAGCUAUGAUGAAACGGAAGGCCUGUAAUGUUGCUUAUAAACUGUGGUACUAAUAAACAGGCUAGAAAUUUUCUUUAACUCAUCCAUCUAGGCACACGAAGUUCUAAUUAGCCUUUGAACAGACUUGGCACAUCCAAAUCAAAACUGCAGAUAAGAAAGAUUCUACGAGUCAGAGCCAUAAUAGCAAUGCUAAUAACAUCACCAUAAAAUUGUAUAGUAUUGGUAUGCUCAGCCAUAGGAAACAAUUUCCAGUGUGUUCAGAAUACAAGGUAUUUCUCGUUAACAAAUAUCAUAUCCAGGGUGUGCAUGAUUUCCUAAACAACUGCAAUGCAUCAAUUCUAAAGUAAAAACAAAUAGUUUUGAUGAUUCAUGAAACAGAAUUUAACCAUUCCUUUAGAUCACCUUUAAAAAAUACACAUUAAUAUAUUUCUGGCACGAUAUAGACGUAGAAAAGAAGAACAAUUUCCGUUUGAUAAAGAUCAGAAUAUUAGCUUUUUAAAUUAAUCCUUAUUACCUAAGUGUAGCCUAAAUCCCAAACAGGGAUUUUUCUCUUUUCUUUUCUUUUUCUUUUCCUUUUCUUCCCUUUCCCUUUCCUUUCCUUUCCUUUGUUUUCCUUUCCUUUCCUUUGUUUUCUUUCUUUUCUUUUUUCCUGCGACAGGGUCUCCCUCUGUUGCCAAGGCUGAAGGUCAGUGGCACUGUAACAGCUCACUGCAGCCUCCACCUCCCAAACUCAAGCGAUCCUCCCACCUCAGCCUCCCAAGUAGCUGGAACCACAUGCCCGGCAAUUAUUUUUUUCUUUUGGAUAGAGAUGGGGGUCACAUUAUGUUGCCCAGGCUGAUCUUCAACUCCUGGGCUGAAGCCCAGAGAUCUUUUUUUUUUUUGGCUUUACCCAUUCAACAUCAGUUUCAGAUAAUCACACCAGUCCUAUUUUCAAACUAGCUGGCAGUGCUUACAGUGACCUAUAUUGGUGGUAAAAUAUACUGGCCAAGUGAAACUGGUCUAUAGGGCUGUUAGUUCAUUUUUUUCAAGUGGACAGAGUGAAUCUGAUUUUCACCCACAUUCUUGAGACUUUUCAAUGGUGCUGAAAGACUAUUUGCAUGAUAUAUAAGUACUUCCUUGCAUCCCCAGUUUCAUAUCAAGACCUCCGUUUUUUCCUACUACUGGAGAUGAGUGACUGCGGGAGGAGGCUACUGAAAGCCUGGGGCGGCGGCCAGAGCUGCGGGGAGGCCCCGGCCUCAGCUCCACCCACCCCCAUCCUGCUCCAGGAGGCAAGAACGCGCAAAGUGAGCCUCCUUCCUAGGGACUACUGUGUGCGGUACCUGGGGGGUGCCAGCGCCCGCGGGGUGCGCACCCCUCUUUUCCCCGCCUGCCCCGCGUCCCCGGCUGCCAGGCCCGUAGAUGCGCGCGGGGCGACAGGGCUCCCAUGCUGCCCUGAGUGCAUAAAGAGCUGGGCAGCCAAGUUUACACCAGGUGACCUUUGCCCGCCUCCUUCACCUUUUCCUGUCUUCUUCACCCCGUCUUCUUUUCUUGCCCUCUGAUUCUCUUUCGGAACCACUCGACUCCUGUAGCUUGCUGGGUUUUUUUAGUUUUUCUUGUGUGUUUGUUUUUUGAGACGGAGUCUUGCUCUGUCGCCCAGGCGACUCACUGCAACUUCUGCCUCCCGGAUUCAAGCGAUUCUCCCGCUUCAGCCUCCUGAGUAGCUGGGAUUACAGGAGCACGCUGCCACGCCCGGCUAAUUUUUUUGUAUUUUUAGUAGAGAUGGGGUUUCACCAUGUUGGCCAGACUCGUCUCGAACUCCUGACCUCAGGCAAUCCGCCUGCCUUGGCCUCCCAAAGUGCUGAUUUCAGACGUGAGCCACAGCGCCCGGCCUUUUUUUUUUUUUUAAUGGAGUCUCGCUCUCACCCAGGCUGGAGUGCAGUGGCACGAUCUCGGCCCACUGCAACCUCCAGCUCCGAGGUUCCAGCGAUUCUCCUGCCUCAGCCUCCCGAAUAGCUGGGACUACAGGCGUGCGCCACCACACCCAGCUAAUUUUUCGUCGUUGUAUUAUUUAUUAGAGACAGGGUUUCACCAUAAUGGUCAGGUUGGUCUCAAACUCCUGACCUCGUGAUCUGCCCACCUCGGCCUCCUAAAGUGCUGGGAUUACAGGCGUGAGCCACGGCGCCCGGUCACUUUUUAACUCUCACUUCUCUGUCAAAGUGUUAGGCUUGUAUUUUCUCUUUAGAAGCCAUUCUUUUGCUUUCUGAAUAGAAUAAGUGAAUGGCCAGCUCUCUUUUUUUAAUUAUUUUUUUAGAGAUAGGGUCUCACCCUGUUGCCCAGGCUGAAGUGCAAUGGCAUGAUCAUAGCUCACUGCAACCUCAACUCUUGGGCUCAAGGAAUCUGCCUCAGCCUCCCAAGUAGCUAGGACUACAGGCACUUGCCACCACACCUGGCUAAUUUAAAAAAAAAAAAAAAAAUUGUAGAGACCAGGUCUCACUAUGUUCCACAGACUGGUCUUGAACUCCUGGCCUAAAGGGGUCCUCUCUUCUGCCCUCCCAAACGACUAGAAUUAUAGGCGUAAGCAACCGCUCCCGGCCUAAAUGGCCAGCUCUUGAAGCCUACCUUCCAUAUUUCCCAAAGAAACUGCCCAACUUUUACCCAAUGCGGUCAUAAUAUUUGUUUCCACAUUCCCAGUGGCAAUAUACAUGGGCUCCAGAUAUUCCGCAGCAUGGCCAACACUUGAUAUUGUCACUCUUUUUUUUAAUUCUAGCCAUUAUAGUGAGUGUAAAUGGUAUCUCAUUGUGAUUUUAAUUUCCAUUUCUUGGCUGGGCGGGGUGGCUCACACCUGUAAUCCUAGCACUUUGGGAGGCCAAGGCAGGCGGAUCACCUGAGGUCAGGAGUUCGAGACCAGCCUGGCCAACAUGGUGAAACCCCAUGCCUACUUAAAAUACAAAAAUUUGCCA
This 4255-nucleotide long non-coding RNA is filed under the name Homo sapiens (human). Its description in RNAcentral is "non-protein coding lnc-ATP6V1A-7:2". Lineage: Eukaryota; Metazoa; Chordata; Mammalia; Primates; Hominidae. The record is from RNAcentral.